AGAGUUUGAUCCUGGCUCAGGACGAACGCUGGCGGCGUGCCUAAUACAUGCAAGUCGAGCGGGACUUUGAUUGGUGCUUGCACCGAUUAAAGUUUAGCGGCGGACGGGUGAGUAACACGUGGGUAACCUGCCUUAUAGAUUGGGAUAACUCCGGGAAACCGGGGCUAAUACCGAAUAAUACUUUUAAACACAUGUUUGGAAGUUGAAAGACGGUCUCGGCUGUCACUAUAAGAUGGACCCGCGGCGCAUUAGCUAGUUGGUGAGGUAACGGCUCACCAAGGCAACGAUGCGUAGCCGACCUGAGAGGGUGAUCAGCCACACUGGGACUGAGACACGGCCCAGACUCCUACGGGAGGCAGCAGUAGGGAAUCUUCCACAAUGGACGAAAGUCUGAUGGAGCAACGCCGCGUGAGUGAAGAAGGAUUUCGGUUCGUAAAACUCUGUUGCAAGGGAAGAACAAGUAGCGUAGUAACUGACGCUACCUUGACGGUACCUUGUUAGAAAGCCACGGCUAACUACGUGCCAGCAGCCGCGGUAAUACGUAGGUGGCAAGCGUUGUCCGGAAUUAUUGGGCGUAAA
Molecule: ribosomal RNA, 579 nt
Filed under: uncultured Bacillota bacterium
Lineage: Bacteria; Bacillati; Bacillota
Description: bacterial SSU rRNA
Rfam family: Bacterial small subunit ribosomal RNA
Source: RNAcentral